CCUAAUCCAAUGACUAGUGUCCUUAUAAGAAGAGGGAAAUUCGGACGGAGAGACGCAUGCAGGGAGAAAGUCACGUGGAAACGGAGGCAGAGACUGGAGGGAUGCGUCUGUAACCCAAGGAAUGCCAAGGAUUUCCAGCUGUGGCAGUGGUGUGGCUGUCUUCCAAGCCACAGGUGCAAGAGCUGCCAAGGGCGGCCACCAGCCCUGUGCCCAACCCCAGCUUUGCCUUAGCGGGGAGCUCCCCACAAUUUUGCCACUAUCUUUAGCAAUCACUCUCCUUUCAAAGACACGGAAAUCGAGGCUCCAAGAAAGAAGUAGAGUGGACUAACAUUAACUGUGUGCCUUCUAGGAGCUCCACACAGUGUGUCUUCACUGCUCUGGGCAUCCUGCAAGGAGAAAGCAUCAUCCCAUUUGCAGACGUAAAGACGGAGGCUCCGAGCAUCAAGGACCUUUGCUCUGGGUCACAGAGAUAUUUAGUGGCAAAACCAGAACCAGGAGGACAUGCCGUGACCGUCCCGCCGCUGGGAGGCGUUGGGCAACUUCCCGAACCUCACAGAGCUUCAGCUUCUCCACGUAUAAAAUGCCUUUCAAUUCCACCCGUUUUUACUGAGCUCCUGCUAAGUCCACGACAGUCUGCGGACUUAGCAGUGGAGAAAGAUGGUUUGUUACCGUCUGUCCUUUUGUGCCUUUAAAUGCUGUACCAUGUGCACAUGUAACUUAUUUUUUAAUUUUAUUAAAUAAUAUUAAUACUUA
Molecule: long non-coding RNA, 753 nt
Organism: Lemur catta (Ring-tailed lemur)
Lineage: Eukaryota; Metazoa; Chordata; Mammalia; Primates; Lemuridae
Exons: 2
Source: RefSeq, a predicted model, not a curated record